GAGGUGAUUUCUAAAGUCUAAGUAAAGGGAACUAUAAUGAAACCAGAGAUCAAAUUUUGAAAGGCAAAUGGCAAAGAAAGAAGAAAGAUCAUUGCCAUUAGACAGAAAGAAAAGUUGUGUCAACAAGGGCCCAGAGGCAAGUUAUGCUGGGCAUGGGGUCUGGCUCCACUCUCAUAAAUUUUAAAAAUGAAGAAUGGGGUAUUUGCAACUCUCAAAAGAAUUUCAAAUACCAGAUGAAGUCCCCAUGACAUGAGGUCUUCAAAGAUGGCCAAAGUUUGGGAAGACUUUGAAAAAGCUGAGGAGAACAAUCAGUGAUUCAAUUAAGACUCCAGAGGAAUUCAUAUCAGAACCAUAUAGGGUUGGGGGAGGCUGCACUCAGGGCUAGCGGAGAGAAGAUGACAAAGAAGGCCUUGCCAGGGAAUUUGGAAAGCCAGACCUGGACUGGCUGGUAACCACAUGGACAUGGUCACCUGCUGAUUCUAUCUGUAAGGCAUGCAUGGC
RNAcentral lists this long non-coding RNA (501 nucleotides) under Equus caballus (horse). Its description in RNAcentral is "lncRNA (ENSECAG00000056580.1)". Lineage: Eukaryota; Metazoa; Chordata; Mammalia; Perissodactyla; Equidae. The record is from RNAcentral.